Molecule: long non-coding RNA, 1165 nt
Filed under: Cyanistes caeruleus (blue tit)
Lineage: Eukaryota; Metazoa; Chordata; Aves; Passeriformes; Paridae
Description: lncRNA (ENSCCEG00000020639.1)
Source: RNAcentral
CUUCCUGCCUGCAAUUAACUAGACUGUAAUAUGAUUAUUUCAUUAUUUGUUAAUAUUGUCUAAGCUAUUUGAUUGCAUGUUAGCUAGUUCUCAUCUUAAAUCCAAGAAAGUCAGCCAUGAAUCCUUAGAAAAAUCGUAUGGUUGAUAUUUUAGCUAGACAGAAGUAAUAUCUCUAACAGUUGAAAACUGCAGUUCCAUUGUGUGUAACCCAGUCAAAAUCAGUGUAGAAUAUACUUCAGAUAAACCUACCUCAAUUUUGAAGUAUCUCUAUUCCUAUUAGUUUGGAAAAGUAUGACAAUAAAAUAUUACCACAGCACAACCUAUUUGUAAGUAUAUGGGGGGACUCCUAUUGCAAGAGUUUUGAACUAUUUUUAACUUUCUAUCAAUAAUUAAACAACUGUAAAUUGAAUCCUUAGAAUUCAGUAAAACUCUAAGUCACAUUAUUUUUGCAUCAGGUACUCCACGUCUAUUUUUGUGCUGAGUGUGGGAAUGUAUUCACAAAAUUUUGCUGUGUCAUCUAGCCUUGAAGAUUUAGACUGGUAAUAUAAAAAGAGAUUUUUCUGUCUGCCUUGGUCUUGAAAAGGAAAGAAUUCUGAUUCUCUUUCUUCCUGUGCUAGUGGGAUAAGCUCAAAGAACUGAAGUAUACACUUGAUAACAUAAGGUUGUUGGCUUUGUCACAGACUUGCACUGCUUCAUGCUGACCUUCUGGUUCCCCCUGCUGAAUAGUUCCACACAAGGUUUUUGCUACUCAGCUGUACCAUUGGGGCAAUGACUUCUGGCAUGACCAAAAGUGAGUGGGUGAUUUCUGAGUGACCCUGACCGAGAGUGCUUCUCUGCAAAUUCAUAAGGAGAAUGAGUUUAUGACUGUUUUGAUAAAACCCAAGAGGCAGGCUUGGGUGCUUCUGCUGUCAGACUGUCAUGGCUGUCCAGAGAAGGAGCAAACACGAUGGUGGGAGAUGAAUUUUUUUCAUCUGUCACCUUUCAAGUGCAAUGUGAUCAAAGCCAAUGUUGAAGCAAUGCAGCAUGUAAAGGAGUCUGUUUUCAUUUAGCUGGGCUGUCUUGAUUUUGCAUUCAUUACACAAGGUGAAUGUUACUUUUAUGACUUCUUGCUAGAGUAGUUAGUUACUUGCUCUCUGGGAGAAAUUGUAUACGUCCAGGAACAUUG